Molecule: ribosomal RNA, 422 nt
Filed under: uncultured bacterium
Lineage: Bacteria
Also listed under: 1 other name
Description: bacterial SSU rRNA
Rfam family: Bacterial small subunit ribosomal RNA
Source: RNAcentral
UGAGGAAUAUUGGUCAAUGGGCGCAAGCCUGAACCAGCCAUGUCGCGUGCAGGACGACUGCCCUAUGGGUUGUAAACUGCUUUUGUAUGGGAAGAAACGACGGCACGAGUGCUGUUUUGCCGGUACCAUACGAAUAAGGAUCGGCUAACUCCGUGCCAGCAGCCGCGGUAAUACGGAGGAUCCGAGCGUUAUCCGGAUUUAUUGGGUUUAAAGGGUGCGUAGGCGGGAUAUUAAGUCAGUGGUGAAAGUUUGACGCUCAACGUUAAAAUUGCCAUUGAUACUGGUUUUCUUGAGUACAGUUGAGGUAGGCGGAAUGUGGUGUGUAGCGGUGAAAUGCAUAGAUAUACCACAGAACACCGAUUGCGAAGGCAGCUUACUAAGUUGUAACUGACGCUGAAGCACGAAAGCAUGGGGAUCAAACA